CUUAAAAUCUAUUUAAAUUCACUCCAUCAAACUCACUUUUAAAAACAAACACAAGCUAAAUGAAAGUGGUUUUUCUCUCGAGUUCCCUUUGUUGAAGAAUGAAGAUCGGGGACAAUAGCACGUGGGAAGAAGUGGAAGAUUGGAAAAAUGCACGUAUAGCAAGGACCGAUUGCUUUUGCUGUGAUUGUCAAGGACUCUUCUAUCCAGCACUGAAUUGUUAUAUUUUGUUGUGGUUUGGUAAGAUGAAAUCUCGAACAUUCCCUGUUUUUCUCCCGCUCAUAUUUCUAAAACCUUAGAUUUAUAUUUCUUCUUUUGGCUUUUGCUGUUAAGGUUUUGUUCUUCUUCGUCAGGUGAUUGUUUGUUUCCAUUUUCCUUUGCCAUUGUUUUGGUUUGAUGGUUGUUCUGGUUGUUUUUUUACAUUUUUCGAUUGGUGGAUAGAAGUUCAGUACAGAAAGAGUACACCCAAAGCCUUCUACAAAUUUCAUUUUGUGCUUUCCAUUUGGCAUUUUCCACAUAUAUUGUGAGAGAAUGUUCUGUUAGGUUUUGAGACCAUGGACUAGACUGUUCACUUCCAACCUCCACCACUACUACGACGACGGAGGACAAUCUUAACCUUCCUGUACCAUUACCACCAUUACCAGACCAUUAUCAGAUCUGAAGAGUGGAGAAUAGCACCUGCUUCUAAUUCUCUCAUGUUUAAGACCUAUGCAAAGUUGAUGGAUUUGGUCCUGAGAUUCUUGCUAAUAGGGACUAUGGUUGUGCAAUGUCUACACUGAUGCACUCUCUGCAGAUAACGUAACGAGUCUAAUGUAUCUUGAUUUUCUUUGAUAUCAAUGUGUGUGUUCGUGUUUAUAAAUUUGAAAAGGGUAAUCUUUGGUGAGGUGGUUCCUGCAUUAAAGCUGGCCUUUUUUGAGAUAACAAAUUACUAAUGUAGUUCAGACUAGGGUGGAGCAAGACAAAUACCACGGGCCGAUAAAGAAUAGUCCUGAAGUGUAUGCACUCUAGAAGGCAAAAACUCCUCUCUCUAAAUGCUCAAGCUCUACCUAAACACAAAGCAUAAUGAUAUAUGCCAAUCAAGUAUACAUUGUAGACUGUUGAAGCAUCAUAAAAUGGGGAUUAUCAAUAAAUCAAUUGGAGUUAUUAAAUAUCCAGAUGUUGUAAAAGGGUUACACGUUGCCUCAAUCAGAGGCCACCAUUCAAGGUUUUAAAGGCAAAAGCUAUACUGACGAAGAGAUUGAAGUCAUACUUAGAAGGAGUAGAAGUGUUGAAAUAUUAUGAAAUCUUAUUGGUAAGUAAAGUAGUCAUUUGUAAAAAAAGAAAAUUAUUGUUAAGAAGAAAAAUAGUAAAAAUUGAGAUUGAUGUUUUAGUUUAAUAAAAGCAACUUACCAUUUUAAU
Long non-coding RNA from Vigna unguiculata (cowpea), 1395 nucleotides. RefSeq lists it as uncharacterized. Lineage: Eukaryota; Viridiplantae; Streptophyta; Magnoliopsida; Fabales; Fabaceae. The record is from RefSeq and is a predicted model, not a curated record.